This 21-nucleotide microRNA is filed under the name Brassica rapa (field mustard). Its description in RNAcentral is "bra-miR9556-5p". Lineage: Eukaryota; Viridiplantae; Streptophyta; Magnoliopsida; Brassicales; Brassicaceae. The record is from miRBase by way of RNAcentral.
GUCAAUUGGUGAUAGUAGUUC